CCCUUAGAUGUCCUGGGCCGCACGCGCGCUACACUGAGUGUCUGAGAUACGAGUCUGCCUGAUCCGGCAAGGUCUAGGUAAUCGCUAAAAGACACAUCAUGCUUGGGAUAGAUUAUUGCAAAUAUUAAUCUUGAACGAGGAAUUCCUAGCAAGCGCAAGUCAACAGCUUGCGUUGAUUACGUCCCUGCCCUUUGUACACACCGCCCGUCGCUACUACUGAUUGGAUGUUUAAGCGAGGUUCUCGAACUGCUAGCGACUUAGCUUCGGUGAGGUCGCAGUGUGGGAAGUGAACCUAGCUUUGGUGUCUAGAGGAAGUAAAAGUCGUAACA
This 329-nucleotide ribosomal RNA is filed under the name uncultured eukaryote. RNAcentral's name for it is "partial 18S ribosomal RNA". It matches the Rfam family "Eukaryotic small subunit ribosomal RNA", at positions 1470 to 1796 of the family's 1831-position model. The record is from RNAcentral.